AGUGAACGCUGGCGGUAGGCCUAACACAUGCAAGUCGAACGGCAGCACAGUAAGAGCUUGCUCUUACGGGUGGCGAGUGGCGGACGGGUGAGGAAUACAUCGGAAUCUACUUUUUCGUGGGGGAUAACGUAGGGAAACUUACGCUAAUACCGCAUACGACCUACGGGUGAAAGCAGGGGAUCUUCGGACCUUGCGCGAUUGAAUGAGCCGAUGUCGGAUUAGCUAGUUGGCGGGGUAAAGGCCCACCAAGGCGACGAUCCGUAGCUGGUCUGAGAGGAUGAUCAGCCACACUGGAGCUGAGACACGGUCCAGAGUCCUACGGGAGGCAGCAGUGGGGAAUAUUGGACAAUGGGCGCAAGCCUGAUCCAGCCAUACCGCGUGGGUGAAGAAGGCCUUCGGGUUGUAAAGCCCUUUUGUUGGGAAAGAAAAGCAGCAGGUUAAUACCCCGCUGUUCUGACGGUACCCAAAGAAUAAGCACCGGCUAACUUCGUG
Molecule: ribosomal RNA, 492 nt
Filed under: uncultured bacterium
Lineage: Bacteria
Description: partial 16S ribosomal RNA
Rfam family: Bacterial small subunit ribosomal RNA
Source: RNAcentral